RNAcentral lists this ribosomal RNA (207 nucleotides) under uncultured bacterium. RNAcentral's name for it is "partial 16S ribosomal RNA". It matches the Rfam family "Bacterial small subunit ribosomal RNA", at positions 567 to 774 of the family's 1533-position model. The record is from RNAcentral.
AGCGUAGGUGGCCUGACAUGUCAACUGUGAAAACCCGGAGCUCAACUCCGGACAUGCAGGUGAAACUGGCAGACUUGAGACCGGUAGAGGCUAGCGGAAUUCCUGGUGUAGCGGUGGAAUGCGUAGAUAUCAGGAAGAACACCUGUGGCGAAGGCGGCUAGCUGGGCCGGUUCUGACACUGAACUGCGAAAGCGUGGGGAGCAAACA